CCUACGGGUGGCAGCAGUGGGGAAUAUUGGGCAAUGGACGCAAGCCUGACCCAGCAACGCCGCGUGAAGGAAGACGGCUUUCGGGUUGUAAACUUCUUUUGACAGGGGAGAGUAGAAGACGGUGCCUGUCGAAUAAGCCACGGCUAACUACGUGCCAGCGGCCGCGGUAAUACGGAGGUGUCAAGCGUUGUCCGGAUUUACUGGGUGUAAAGGGCGUGUAGCCGGGUUGACAAGUCAGAUGUGAAAUCCUGCGGCUUAACCGCAGAACUGCAUUUGAAACUGUUGAUCUAGAGUACUGGGGAGGCAGACGGAAUGCCUGGUGUAGCGGUGAAAUGCGUAGAGAUUAGGAGGAACCCCGAUUGCGAAGGCAGCCUGCCGGGGUGCGACUGACGCUGAGGCUCGAAGGUGCGGGUAUCAAACAGGAUUAGAUACCCUUGUAGUC
Molecule: ribosomal RNA, 442 nt
Filed under: uncultured bacterium
Lineage: Bacteria
Description: partial 16S ribosomal RNA
Rfam family: Bacterial small subunit ribosomal RNA
Source: RNAcentral